CAUUGGGUUUUGGUUUAAGGAAUGGAUGAAACAUGGCACAUGUUCCGACUUUGCACAACAUCCUCUAUCAUACUUCCAAUCGGCCAUACAACUUAGGACAAAUUUAAAUCCAGCUAUGGGACUCACACGUGGAUCCACCUAUACUGUCCGACGAGUUACGGAUACAGUUUUCUGACUUAUAGGAGCAUCUCCACAAAUUUCAUGCAGUAAACACAAAAGAACUAAAGUUCUACUACUUGGGGAGAUGUUUAUCUGUUAUGGAAGACCGAGGCCAUCCCUUAUCUUUGGAACUCCCAAAAAUUGUUCCAACUUAUUUUAUGGCCUGUGCAAUAGUGGAUCCGAUACCAUAGAAUUUCCAUAGCUAGCUUUACCACAAUUGUCUCAUAUAUGUUUAAAAAUGUUUGAUAUAAUAUCUGAAUUAUUAAUAAAACUAAAAUAGAAACUA
This is a long non-coding RNA of Gossypium arboreum, 445 nucleotides long. RefSeq lists it as uncharacterized. The transcript has 2 exons. The record is from RefSeq and is a predicted model, not a curated record. Lineage: Eukaryota; Viridiplantae; Streptophyta; Magnoliopsida; Malvales; Malvaceae.